GAUGAACGCUGGCGGCGUGCCUAAUACAUGCAAGUCGAGCGAACAGACGAGGCGCUUGCUCCUCUGCCGUUACCGACGGACGGGUGAGUCCCACGUGGCUACCCUACCUAUAAGACUGAGAUCCCUUCGCGGACCCGGAUCUCAUACCGGUCCCUAUAUUGAACCGCAUGGUUCAUUCGUCCUCGCCCUUUUUGCUGUCCCUUAUACAUAGAUCCUCGCCGCAUUAGCUAGUUGGUAAGGUAACGGCUUACCAAGGCAACGAUGCGUAGCCGACCUGAGAGGGUGAGAGGCCACACUGGAACUGAGACACGGUCCAGACUCCUACGGGAGGCAGCAGUAGGGAAUAUUGCGCAAUGGGAGAAAGCCUGGCGGAGCAACGCCGCGUGAGUGAUGAAGGUCUUCGGAUCGUAAAACACUGUUAGUAGGGAAGAAGAAAUGUGAAAGUAAAUAUGCACGUAUUGACGGUACCAAAACAGAAAGCCACGGCUAACUACGUG
This 497-nucleotide ribosomal RNA is filed under the name uncultured bacterium. RNAcentral's name for it is "partial 16S ribosomal RNA". It matches the Rfam family "Bacterial small subunit ribosomal RNA", at positions 28 to 507 of the family's 1533-position model. The record is from RNAcentral.